Molecule: non-coding RNA, 666 nt
Organism: Xenopus tropicalis (tropical clawed frog)
Lineage: Eukaryota; Metazoa; Chordata; Amphibia; Anura; Pipidae
Source: the annotation of a RefSeq genome assembly
AACAAAUACUUCACUUCAGGAGAACAAGUUUAAAUCCCAGCAAUGAUACCAAUCCUGGCUACAUAUUGUGUAUUGCUAUGGAUUUCAUAUGCAGAAUCUCAGACAGUAAGUCUGACUCCAUCAAAUAAUGCAGUUAAUCUGGGAGAGAGCGCAACUUUCAGCUGUAAUGUUGGAGCUAAGGAUGGUAGCCAGGUGCACCUUCUAAAGCAGAUACCAGGGAAUGCCCCACAGCUGAUUAUAUAUCAUCACCAUUCAUUCACCUCUCCUAGAUAUGGCCCAGGGAUAUCUACUGACCGUUAUACUGCCACCAUUAACACUGCAGCCACUGAGUAUCAGUUUAUCAUUAAGAAGGCAGAGACAGCAGACACUGCUCAUUAUUACUGUGUGAAAUGGUUUAGCAGCAUUCCAGGAUCCCACAGUGAUACAGAGUCUGACAAGAAUUGGUAACAUAGAAACAGAAUAAGGAACUGGUUGAUGGUAGACUGCACAUCUGCACAUACUGAUAUCCAAUCUGUCACAGAGUUGCUGUGUUGUUUCCCACUGAAUAUUAAUGGUUCAUCAUCAUUGCAAUUAUAUUUUAAUCUUCUCUAUCUUCUAAUAUUCAUUUUUUGUAUUUCUCUGCCUCUCCUUUCUGAGGUACCAUGCUAAUAUUUUUUAAUUUGCCCU